This 38624-nucleotide long non-coding RNA is filed under the name Nicotiana benthamiana. Its description in RNAcentral is "long non-coding RNA (NBEN_LNC031536)". The record is from RNAcentral. Lineage: Eukaryota; Viridiplantae; Streptophyta; Magnoliopsida; Solanales; Solanaceae.
UAAACUCUCCUGGACUUCCUGAUACUAUUUCUGGGUUUUAAUUGGUCGAUCUGCUGCUGAUUGUUUCUUCUUGCUUACAUUACUCAAAUGUGUUUUCCUCUUUGCUGUAAUUCCAGGUAUUUAUUCUCACUCAGGAGAUCUGGAAAUGCACAACUACAUGUAAAAGUGGUCGCAUUUUGAUAUUGGAAACAUAUUCUUUUUAUGUUAAUUUCAUAGUUGUAAACACUGUCAGUCUAGUAAUACUUAACAUUCGUUUCAAUGGAUUUGUGUUGUAAUAACUGAAUAUUUGCACUGUGCUGGAUUGUUUCGAAUUAUUUGGAAUGUCAGCUUUGAGUUGUUUAAAUUUCAGUAGGGUGAAAACAUGGUAGUCAAUAAUUUUCUUGGUCCUCACGUCUGAUUCGAUAAUAGGAGUAUCACAUGUACACAUAUGUUGGUUUAUAUUGAUAGGUUUAUAAGAUUGCAUAUGUCGAUUUUAAAUUUGAGUUUUGGUAUACUAAUUCACAGGUAAGAAAAGGGUCACACUGUUUGGAGUUUAUUCUAUCAGACGUCUGUGAAACAUUAAGAAUGAUCAAGGUAUAAGUGAUUUUAAAUAGCUGUGACAUAGAGAUUUGUGGAGUGCUACCUUUGUCUUGUGAUUAAAUUGUAGUUUCAAAUUCUGGGCUCAAACUGAAGGCCCAAACUGUUGUAAUUGUGAGACACAAGAAACAUAUACUCUUGGGCUAACUACUUCUAAUAAUGAGCCCAAUUGUAGAAAUCAGCCAUAAAAAUGCUAAAGGUAGGCAUGCUGAAUUUUUGUGGUAGAUCGUUAAAAUGUAAAUUAAUUAAGACUUCUCUUUUUGUUUUAGAGAUGACGUAUAAUAGAAAAUCAGAGUUUCUUUAGGUUUCCUUUUCUAAAAAUAAAACGAGUGUGUCACGCUAAACAAAAUCAUACGUUGUGUGUCCCUCUAAUUGUAGUAAAAUGCUUAGAAAUCCGGGAGAUGCUAUUUAGUGAAUUUCACGAUUUUCCCACGAAGUUAAAAAUAUUUAGUUGCUUUAGGCGCGUUAUUUUAAUAAUUCAUUUUCCUAAAUUCGGAUGCGCAUUUAUGUGACCCAAAUCCAAAUUCUCAACGAUGUUAAAAUAUGCCAAAAAUCGCAUGUGCAUUUAUGUGACGUGGGUCGAGAUGUAUUUUAACAGCGUUGCAAUAUUCCUAAAAAUGUUAAAAAUCGGUAAAGAAAUAAUUUAAUUUCACUAUAGGAUGAACAUGUAUAAAAAUCAGAUUCUUAGCCACUGAUAAUAGUUUAAGCGACCAUGCUAGAACCACGGAAUCCGAUGAUGCCUGACACCUUCCCUCGGGUUAAUAGAAUUCCUUACUCAAGAAUUUCUAGUUUGCAUACUUCAAAAGGAAAGUCAAAAUCUUCCUCGAUUUGGAAUUUAAAAUAAACCGGUGACUUGGGACACCGGAAAAAUAACUCAUCCCAAAUGGAGACUCUAAAAUAAAUAAAUAAUCCCAUUUCGAAUAAUGUCACUUUAAUUGGAAAAACUCCAUUAUACGUGUCAUCCUUCGGGGUAUACGUGUAAAAGGAGGUGUGAUAGGUUUCACUCUGUUUUGAGCCGAUCUUUGACAUUUCAUCACUUUGUCGCUCAAACCUGCAAUCGAGCCAAACCUGUAAGCAUUUUGGGACUAUUUUGUAGCAAAUUAUACUCAAAGCAUAGGAAAGUAAGGGCAUAAAAAACGUUAAAAUACUACUUAUCAACUUGCCCUGUGUGAUUUAUUAUGACAUGUAAAUCAUUGGUUUUGGUUUUCUAGCUAAUCAGAAUAAAUUUGGAAGAACAGUUCUCAGUUUGAAGCUUGAAAUUUGAAAGGGUUGACCAAGAUUUGAAUUGUUAGUAUAUGACCUCAGAUUGAAACUUUUAUGAUUUGGUUAGCUCCAUUAGGUGAUUUGGCACUUAGGAGCGUGAUCAGAAUACAUUUUGGAGGUCCGUGGAAGGAUUAGGCUUGAAUUGACGAUAUUGAGAUUUUGGCGUUUUCCGGUUGAUUGGUGAAAUUUUGAUAUAGGGAUUGAAUGGAAUUCUAGAUGUUGUAAUAGCUCCGUUUUGUCAUUUGUGACGUGUGUGCAAAUUUUCAAGUCAUUCAUAUAAGGUAUGGUAGACGUUUCGAUCGAAAGCGAAAUUUUGAAGUUCUUGAAAUUCUUAGGCUUGAAUUCGAUGUAAAUUUCAUGUUUUGAUAUUUGUUUGAGCGCUUCCAAGGUUGGAAAAAGUAUAAGCGAUGUUAUGGAAUAUGUUGACAUGUUUGGUUGAGGUCCCGAGGGCCUCGGGUGAGUUUUGGAUGGUUGAACGGAUCAAUUUCAUAUUUUGAAAGUUGCAGAUUUUCUGGUUUCAAUCACAUGCAUUUUUUUCUUUGCGAUCGCAUAUAAUCGUUCGGGAUCGCUUAGGCUCAGUUGGGAAGGGGUGAAGAAUUUUCCUAUGCGAUAGCAGAAGUUAGGUUGCGAUCGUGUGAGUUGGCUUGGAAGUGCUUCGUUAUUGCGUGUGUUGUUCCGCGAUCGCAUAAGGUAAGUUGAGGGGCAGUACUAUUUUGUGCAUCAUGAUCGUGAGGCAAUUUCUGCGAUUGCGAUGAACGAAAUACCUAGGCAGAAUGUGUAAGUGCUAAAUCGAGGGUUUAAUUAUAAUCACAAAAACCAUUGGAGAGCUCGUGAGAAGGUAAAAUUUGAAGAGAUUUUUAGUGGAGCUAUUGGGUAAGUGUUCUUCUCUCACAUUUGGUUUAAUUUUAUGAUUGAGUCUUGAAUUUCAUCAUUAAAUUUGAGAAAUUAGAGUGGAAAUUGGGGGAAAAUGGAAUAAAAAUUUGAGAUUUCUCAAAUUUAAUGAUGAAAUUCAAGACUAAAUCAUGGAAUUAGACCAAAUAUGAGUGAAGAAUACUUAACCCAAUUGCUCCACUGAAAAUCCCCUCAAAUUUCACCUUCUCCCGAGCUCUCCAAUGACUUUUAUGAUAUUGGACUUAAACCCUCGGUUUUGAAAUAUAAAUUGUCUGAGAUAUUUCUUCAUCACAAAUGCAACAUAUCCUUCGCGUUCGGGAAGCACACCGCUUCACUGGCCAGAAUUCCAUAUAUGCAAAUGCGAGAACCCUCUCACGAACGUGAUGCCCAGCUGACUCAACACAUGGGCCAGGGGACCGGGUUUGAGCAAUUUUUAGAUUUUUGACGUAAAUUGAAUAUUUUCGAGUGGGCUUUGUUCCGUUAGCAUAGUUUAGUAGUUAUAGACUGAUUAUAGCUAGACUUGGAGCAUCCGGAGGUAGAUUCGUGAGGGCAAAGGCAUCGCGGGCUAUACUUUGGACCUGAUCAAGGUAAGUAUUGAUUGUAAAUGCUGUCCCGAGGGUUUGAAACCUCGGCUUUCACAUCGUUGUGCUACUUUAAGGUGACACACAUGCUAGAUAAAAAGCGUGGAGUCGUUGACUGUUGGGGAUUGCGACUUAGUCCGACCCGUAUGACUGCUAAGUCGCGUAUUUGAUUAGAAAUCUUAUAAUAUUCCAUAUUUUAGAGACUGAUAUGAUAUUUUGAGUUGUAUGCCAUGAUUGGGGCCUCGUGUCGACUUGUUGAGACCCUUAGGGGAAUUUUUCCUAUUUUUCCUCACUCUUUUGUGUUAAAAGCAUAUCCUUGGUCAUGUUUACUGUUUAUUUUUUAAAUCUGGUUUUAUAACUUCUUAAAAUGUAAAAACUAUUUGGGCUGAGUUACCUGUUUUACUGAUGGUCCGAGUGAUUCUGAGGUUGAUGACUGAGAUAGACCGAGGGAAUAAUUGUGGGUUAAUGACUAAGAGAGGCCGAGAAACUGACUGUGAGGAUUAUAUAUUUAUGGAACGUCGCAACAAUAUAUAUAUAUAUAUAUAUAUUGCUGCACACUGCAGCAAUAUGUUGGAUAGGGAUGCAUGCCGCAACAAUAUAGCGCUUGGGCUGUAGAUCCCCUCUGGAGUCUGCACACCCCAAGUGAGCGCAGUCGUCUAUAUAUAUGGAUCCGGUUGCACACCGCAACGGUAUAUGGAUCGGGCUGCAUGCCACAAUGGUUACUAUAUGGUACCUAUUGAUUGUGAGUGUCGAGUGUGAGUGCUAAUUUGAAAGAGUUGAGUCAUGAGUGACUGAGAGGGUUGCCCGAUGGGCUAUAUAUAUGUAUGUAUAUAUAUAUAUAUAUAUUUAUGUAUAUAUACAUGUAUAUGAGUGAUGCUUUGCCCGAGGGACCUGUUUAUGAACUUACCUUUUUUCACUCCUCCUUAAAGUGAGUCUCUAUCGAAUAGGUUGAUUUAAUAACUAUUUCCAAUCAUCUUUAGACCGAGCCUAUAUUGAAAAUGCUGAACAAAUGUUUUAAGCAACUCUCAUUAACCUGAAGUUUUUAAGAUAUGAAAUGGUUAUGAAUUUCUAUUUUACCGAGGGGCUGUAUACAAACUAUGCUUGCCCGAGGGACCGAUUAUGAUUUUCAUCGCUUUCACCAUAUAUAUAUAUAUAUAUAUAUAUAUUUCAUUAAACCUCCAUGGGAAAGGUUAGAAAGAUAUUUUCGAAAGGAUUUUAUUGAAGAUGGAAGUUUAACGAAGUGAUUUGAUUUGUAUACUAAGUGCCAUGAUGUGGUAUACGUGAUUUCUUACUGCUUAGACUUUAUUUACUUUUAUUACUUAUUGGGUUGGAGUACUCAUAUUACUCUUUGUACCUUGUGUGCAGAUUGUAGUAUUUACUUUUAUCACAUUACUGGGUUGUACUACCUCGAGAUCUCUGAAGGCAACCACCCAAAGCUAUGGUCUGAAAGUUGUCGCUCUGGGAAAUGCACAAAGUGCAAAGUGUAGUAUCAGCACAACCAACCCCAUGUGCUGGUAAAUGCCUACCCUAACCUUGGUGAAACAGUGACAAGGCUAGAAACAAACUACCAAAUAAACCCAUGCAAUUAAACCAUAUAUAGCAAAAAUAGAAGAAGAUAAUUAUAACUAAAGUCGAGCGGGGGAAAUAUGUUGCGGGGAGUAACAUAUAACAACAGAACAACAGUAGAGAAAUAUAAGGAAUGCCAUUAUCAAUUACCAGCAAGGAUAAGGAAAUAAGAGGAACAGGUACACACGUAUACCGUCGCAAGUGUGCAACCCGUUCCCAUUUCAUAUGACACCGUUACAGACGUGCAACCCGCUCCUAUUUCAUAUAUUACCGUUGCAGUCAUGCAAUACUCUCCCAUUUCAUAUAUUCUGUUGCAGGCGUGCAAGAUGCUCCCAUUUCAUAUAUUACCGUUGCAGGCGUACAACUCGCUCCUAUUCCAUAUAUUACCAUUUUAGGCAUGCAAGCUGCUCCCCUCAUGUAUUACCGUUGCAGGCGUGCAACCCGCUCCCAUUUCAUAUAUUACCAUUGCAGGCAUGCAAUCUUCUCCCAUUUCAUAUAUUACCAUUGCGGGCGUGCAACCCGCUUCCAUUUUAUUUAUCAACACUAAUCAUAAAAGAAUCCCCGCAAUGUAACAACAUCCCGGCAAGAGAACAAUAAAUUACAACAACAUCCUGGUAAGAGAACGAUAAUAUCACAAUAAACAUUCCGACAAAGGAACAAUAAUAUGAGUAUAUGACAAUAACAUCCCGGCAAGAGAACAAUAAUUAAAAUCCUCAUAUGGAGUACAAUAUGCCACGACAGAGCCAUAACAAUUACAAUACAAGACUCACGGGCAUACUUGACACCGACAUAUAGAUACUCGUCACAAUACCCGUACGUCAUACUCCACAGUUAACACAAAGCAAAUAAGACACGACUCCUAAUCCCUCGAGCUAAGGUUAGACCAAACACUUACCUCGAUGCCAUGAACACAAGCCAAGUCUCAACUAUCACUUUACCUCUUUAUUCCACCACCAAUUCGCUCGUAUCUGCCCACAAAUUACUUAAUCAUAUUAAUAAAUACUAAAUGAAUCAAUUCUAAUUCAUGAAAAUAAGUUUUCCAAAGUUUGCCCAUGUGAGCAUGUGAUUUUUGCUUCAUCAAAAUUACUCCUACAGGAUUCCUAAAGUUAGGAUUUCUCCUUUUAUUAUUCAAAUGAUUUAGGAUUUUACCGUGCAUGUUUGUGUAUAUCUUACUGGUGCGUGCAUGGCGAGUCAUAAAAAAUACCAAAAAAUAUGUGCCUUUUCAUUUAGGAUUUAAUUUGACAACUUUGCAUUAAUUAAGAAACUUUGUCAUUUUAUAAAAUACAAAAAAAAAUCAUCACAAAAGUAGUUUACUUUGUUUAAAAUUUUAAAUUCGUGAAUAUUUUGUAGUUUUCUUAGUGGUUUGAUAUUUUAUUAAGUUUGUAAUAAUUGUUAGUCUUAAUUAAUUUGACUUGGUAGUUUAAAUCAGUUUUAAAAUUUAUUCAGGGCUUAGUAUAAUUUUUUUGAAUAAAGGAAUUAAGAAAAGAAAAGGAAUGAAAAAACAAAAACAAAAGAAAUUUGGGCCAACCAGCCCAAACAAAAACCUCUGAAUUAAUCCGGUUCCCAGCCCAAACCCGCGUAAUUACCCGAUCCAGCUUCCCCCUCUCCAAAAGGACAAUGUUUAGUCUCGUUAAAUCCAGGCCGUCUAGGUUUGCCACAUCAACGGUCGAGAACUUAUGAGAUUUUAAUAUAAAUAUGUCCUAACGCUACCCUACCUCCCUCAGACCCCCUGACCCUCUCGUCUCCUUCAACUCAUCAGAGGCCCGUAAGGCCGCCGUCCACCACCCUGAAACCACCGCCGAAAAUUGCUUCAUGGCGGCAGCCGACCACCAAAUGGCCCCAAAUUUGCACUGUAGGACCCUCGCAGCCUCCCAUGUCCACUCCUACCAUCAGAAUCCCUCAAAUAUUCCCCCAUCCCGUCGAAUAUUCAAAUUAAGGGUCGCCGUCUCCGCCGCCUACGGUGGCACAAACCCCAAACCUGUCCAACUUAACACCCCUGAACCACCUCGUUAUCCUCUUUCCAACCCUCUAAAUCCCAUCCCUCGAACCCUCACCAAUCUCCUCAAAUAUUAAAUCAAAGCUUUGGCCCAAACCCCAACCUCACUGGAAUCCUUCAAAAAUGGUCCCAGGUGACCUCCUCACCUUCCUUUCCACAAAUCCACGACCAUCAACCUUCAAAUGCAACUAGAUUUGGCCAAAAAUUAGAUCUGAAACAUGGACCCACCCCCAAAUUGGCUAACCCUACACUUGAUGCUCUCCCACCCCCUCAAACGAUGGUACAAGGGUCUCAAAGGUAACAAGCCUUCUCAGAAAUGCUUGAAAAUCAUUGGACUUGAAAGGCCCAAUUUCUAGGGUCGCAGUAAUUAAGUUAAGUGCCCUGAAUUUUGUUGAUUGCCUUUUUAAUUUUUUCUUUUUUUCGUUUGUGUAAGUGCAUGAAUGUCCAUUUUCCCGUCUGAGUAGUUGCGUUGUUUCUAUUUGCUCGUGUGUUGAAUUUCUGAGUAGUUACUUUGCUUCUAUUUGCUCAUCCGUAAAAAACUUCUGUUUAGUUACUUUGUUUCCAUUUGCUCAUUUGUAAAAAUUUUUGAUUAGUUACUUUGUUUCCAUUUACCCAUCUUUAAAAUUUUCGGAUUAGUUACUUUGUUUCCAUUAUCUCAUCUGUAAAAAUUUCUGAUUAGUUACUUUGUUUCCAUUUGCUCAUUUGAAAUUUUUUUUUCUGAUUAAGUUACUUUGUUUCCAUCACAUGCUAUUUGUUUUAAGUUUUGAUAAUAUGCUCCUGAAUGGUCCCCUUCUCUUUUGAAGUCAUAUUUGUCUCUUUCAAUUCCUUUGGAUUAUCAUGCUAAGUUCAGAAUUGGUCACCUCUUGUUUAACUUUCCAUUAUUUUUCUUUUAAAAUUGAUUAGUGUCCAUUUGUGAAUCUUGUUUUCUGAAGUGUGCCGUUUAACUUUAUUUUCUUCUGAGUAAUUUGGUUCCAUAUUCUGAUACUUGUUUAACUCCGCCUAUAUAUAUGUGUUGCAUCGAUUUGUUACUUAUCAAUUUCUGACCCUUGGUUGUUUGUAUUUAUAUGGUAUAGCUUAGUUUCCAAUUAGGUAGUUGGCCAUGUCUAGCUUUCUCAAAAUUUGAUCCCAACUGAUAAUAUAACCUUGGUUUAUGAUUUUAUGUAGUUAACUAGGGUCAAUUUCUGACCAAAUGGAUAGACACCAGGUUAUAGCACAUCUAGGUUAGUAAUUAAGAAGGAAAACAUGGGUAUUGGGGCUAUUUGAACUUAAGAAUCUUGUAACAAACUCCCGGAACAUUCUAGUGAAGGGUCGAAAUGCAAUUUCUGUCCAUUAUUUCUCAAAACUUGAGGCACGAGUUCAAAAAUAAGGGAUCUAUUAAGUAAAUCUAAAAAAUGGGUAAGGGACUAAAAAGAAAGAAUUUGUUUCCCUAAAGAUUUGGCUAUAAAAAGAGACAUCUGGUUGUUUAAAAAGGGGAAUACACUUUCAGGGGAUACAUUUUUAGAUACACAUUUAGAGAGAGAUACAUUUUAGAGAAAAGGUCGAGAAUAUCCACCUGAAAGCCAAUUCCUGAAAUCCUAAGUUUUCCUGGCAAAAUCUUCUAUAAUAAUCAAAAUUAUACUCAUUAUAAGUUGAAGAUGAAUUGAGGCAUAUACAUUUUGAGUUUUUAGAGAAACUUGUGUCGUUAUCUGCUUCUCAAAAUUUCCUGAGUUCCUAGGUUAACUAGUAGAUUUGGCUGCUGUUGCUUGCUUGCUUCUCGUUUAACUUGCUCAUAUGAUUCCUCUUUGGCUGUAAUUCUAGGUACUACUCUCAUUCAAAUUUGGGAAAUGCACAGCUGUAUACUCGUGACCACGGUUGAUAAUGAAGAUGUUUUCCGUUUUUUAUAUCAUAAUGUAAAUGUCGUUAGUUCAGUAAUAUUUAAGAUGUCUAUCCCAUUUUUAUAGUAUAAUAUGCAUAAACAUGUAACGAUGUUGGACUGUGCAUGGACUAUGACUCUAAUUUGUUUUAACUAACCUGCAUGAUUUUUAUGAUUGAUUCUUUAGUAGGGAUUCGACAUCUGUAUAUGUACUCUAAUUGACAAGUAUAUCAGUUUUUAUAUGCUAGAUCUGAAACUUGAGUUGUAACGUAUUAAUUUUCCAAUACAAAAUCAUUGCCAGGAGUCCCUUUGUCAAAUAUCUUUAAUAUGUUUAAAAAUGAUCAACUAUAUAAUAUCAACAGUUGCGGUGUAACAAUAUAGAAAUGUUGUCCUACUCUUUGUGAUUAAUUUGUAGUCCAAUGUUUCUGGGCUCAAAUUGAAAGCCCAAACUGCUAUAGUUGCAAAGCAUAAGGAAGUGCAUUCUCUGGGCUUGCUAUUUUCAAUAAUUAAGCCCAAAUUGAAAAAUCAGCCAUGAACGAGGUUGAAGACAUACAUGCUGAAUCUUUCUUUUGAAUAUAUCGUCAACAUAUGAAAUAAUUAGGACGUAUCUUUUGUUUUAGAGACGGGUAUAAUAAAAAAUUAUAGUCUCUUUAGGUUGUCUUUUCUUAAAAUAAAAUGGGUUUGCCGUGACAAAAUCAUACACUGCGUUGGCCCUUUAAUUUCAAUAAAAGAUGCAUAGAAAUUUGGAGGUGUCGUUUAGCAAAUUUCACGGCUCUUCCACGAAUUUUAAAACACGUAUUUUCUAUAGGCGCGAUAUUUUAACAAGAUAUCUUCCUAAAUUUGAAUGCGCAUUUAUGUGACCCAAAUCCAAGUCUCAACGAUGUAAAAAUGUGUCGAGAACCCGGGUGCAUUUAUGUGACAUGGCUCGAGACAUGUUUUGAUAACGUUGCAAAUAUUCCUAAAAAGAGACAUAAAGUGGUUAAUAAUUUUAAAAUUGCAUUGUAGGAUGAACAUGUAUAAAAUAAGGAAAUUAGCCAUUUAUAAUUGUUUAAGCGACCGUGCUAGAACCACGGGAUCCGAGGGUGCCUAACACCUUCCCUCGGGUCAACGUAAUUCCUUACUAAAGAAUUUCUGGUUCGCGGACUCUAAUUGGGCAGUCGAAAAAUUUCCUCGACUUGGGAUUCUAAAUAAACUGGAGACUUGGGACACUAAAAGCCAAACCAAUCCCAAGUGGCGACUCUUAAUUAAUAAAUAAUCCCAUUUUGAAUAAUGUCACUUUAAUUGGAAAAACUCCAAUGUACGUGUCAUCCUUCGCGGUAGCCGUGUAAAAAGGAGGUGUGACAGCUCUGGCGACUUUGCUGGGGAGCGAACCCAGAAUCUCUGGUUCAUGGUUCAAAAAUUCGAGCUUAGUGUAACUGUUAUAUUUGGCUUUAUUUGAUUUCAUAACAUGUUCCAUGCUAUAAGUGCUAAAUGCUUUACCGCCUUGAUAUUAUCUGAACUAUACAUAUAAACUGCUACGAAACCCUUCACUUCUCACCUUCAGGGAUGUGCUUACUGGUUGAGACUCCCUAUUCUGUUAGUGUCAUACCUCAAAAAUAAGAAAGAGGCCAGACAAGUUACUAAGCCGGAUGGCCUUUUGGUUCCCGGUAUGUAGCCCCCUCCUCGACUCGAGUAGUCCGCUCGAGUGCACAGUCUAGACCCUGUACCAAGGUGUUUUACUUAUAAUAACUUGACCUCAUGCCGGAUCCCUAGUAUGAACGCUUAUUUGCAUCAUGCAUUUGAUUUAGGGGACUCAACAUAGGGUUUGGGUCUGUCUAGGACAGGUUACCCGAAGUGAAAAGACCAUCCUGAUGCAUAUUUUGUGCUACUUGUGCAUUCAUUUGCUUUGGAUUCGCAUGUUGAUCGGCUUGUGAAUAAAAGGGAAAUUUGAGAGUUUUGAGAUAAAUCAUUUGUCAAACCAAUGUUCAAAUAGUGCCAAAAUGCUGCCGGAUUUUUUUGAAACAAAACAAAAAUACAAAACAAAAGGAAAAGAAAUUGGGAAAGUUUUUGGAUUUUGAUAAAUUGUUUUGCCAGGUCCAACCAUUCUUAUGUAAAAAUGCUAAAACAAAACAAAAAAACCAAAUAUUUGAUUUUAUCCACUUAUUUGAAAUAAAUCGGGUGAUGCCAUUAUUACCGAAAAUAGUCGAAUGUUACUGCAAGGGACGCCGGAAUGCUAAUCCUGCACAAAUGGCCACCCCUGAGUCUUAUUUUGACCGGCAAGCAAGCACACCCUGAAAAGCCUUCUCUUGGAAGUGUUGCAAGGCCGUAUUCGGAAAGCUAGGCCUUGGUUUUACGAAAUGAAUUUCAUAAAAUACUGGUUUUAGUAUUCCGUGGAUAUUAAUUCACCUUAAUAAAUGUGCAGAAUGAGCACGAUAAUGUUCAUGAACAAAAUUCCCUUGGANNNNNNNNNNNNNNNNNNNNNNNNNNNNNNNNNNNNNNNNNNNNNNNNNNNNNNNNNNNNNNNNNNNNNNNNNNNNNNCUUCCGAUCUUUCAUGAACAAAAUUCCCUUGGAGUUGCCACUGUGGUGGAAUGAUCUGGGGGAAGCAGGGAAGAAAAGGGUCAAUACACAUCUGGGAGGCCUCACUGGUUUGUUGAAAAUUAACCCAAGGGGAGACAUCUUAAAGGCAUUAAUCACAUUUUGGGACCCGGCUCACAAUGUCUUCCACUUCUCGGACUUUGAACUCACACCGACAUUGGAGGAGAUAACUAGAUAUAUUGGGAUUCCUGCAAUUCCAUUUAGACACCAAUACCUGAUUGCACCAAGAGCCCUUGCCGUGCAAAAAUUCCUGGACUCCUUGAAAAUCAGUAGGAAGGUUCACAAUCCGGACUUAUCAACUGGCUUUUGCACCCCGCAAUUUAUAUAUCAGAGGUACGGACAUAUCGGGGGAUUCAAUAACCCCGAAAAUCAUAUUUGUAGCAAGGGAAUCAGCUCAAAUGGGAGGAGCAUCGAUGAUUUUGCAUUCAUGGUAUUUUCUUAGGUCUUCUAAUAUUCCCUCGAAAGGAUGGUUAUAUUGACAUACAAAUGGCAGAGGUCGUUUGCACUUUAAUAACCCAGGCUAAAAGUACCCUCGCUCCAAUUAUCUUGUCCGAAAUCUUCCGUGCUCUCACCGCAUUUAAAGCAGGAGGAUACUUCUUUGAGGGAUGUAACUUGCUACUGCAAAUAUGGAUGAUCGAGCAUAUAUGCCACCACCCCGGUUCAUGAAUUAUGGGUCGCCAACAAAAGAGCUGCAUAGAAGAAUUCUACAACAGGGUUAAUGGGUUUAGAGUACCUGAGGGUGUCACAGAAUGGGUGUCGCAUCUCCGGGUCAUCACUGCAAAUCAGAUAGAGUGGAUGUUUGUUGUCCGGGUUAAUGGGUUUAGAGUACCUGAGGGUGUCACAGAAUGGGUGUCGCAUCUCCGGGUCAUCACUGCAAAUGAGAUAGAGUGGAUGCUCGGGUGGCUCCCUGUGGAUGAAGUUGUGUAUAUGCUGGCCACCGGACCUCAUUUCCUUCUGAUGGGUCUCCGAAGUAUCAAGCCCUAUGCGCCAUAAAGAGUACUAAGGUAAUUGGGUAGAUGCCAAAUGAUCCCAGGGACGAGGAUAUUAGUCGUCAUGCAGUUGAAAUAAGACCAAAGGGUCAAUUCCCAGAAGCCGUCGUAUGUCAAAUCUGGAGUGAAUGUCAAUACGUGACAACAGAUACUCGAGUGCGCGACAUAUCUAUAGGUGAGGUUGCACCGGGGUGUGUUGCUUGGUACAAAAGAGAAAUAGAGCCUGGAAGGCCGGCUAAGAGACCACAUCUCCAAGAAUUUGCUGAGACGUCACAAGAGAAGUGGGAUUGAUUAGCCAAGGAAAAUGAAUAUAGGGCCACUAUAGGAAGGUUGGAAAAGAAAAUCCAAGAGCUGCAAAUUGAAAACAGUUUGCAAGCUGCAGCCAGUGAGGGAGAAAAGAAGAUAUUAACCAAAGAAAACGAAGCCUUACGAGCCUAAAUUCACAUAAUGAAAGCGGCCACAGAAAAUCCCCCCAGAAGCACAUAAUAUGAAAAACUCAUAGAAAAUUUACGGCGGAAAGUAACUGAGUAUGGUUUUGACUUCCAGAAAAUGAAGGUAGCCACAGAAAAUCCCCCUGAAGUAUAAGAGAUGAAAAACUCAAAGAAAAUUUUCGGCAUAAAGUAACCGAGUAUGGGUUUGACCUGAAUAAGGCGGAAGAGGAGCUAUCUAGGGUUCGGAAGCAAUUGAUUAAAAGUGCAGAGGAACGAGCCCGCAUCCUUGAGCAAUUAAAAGAAGGGAAUAACGAUGAGAUUGUUGGUUUAAAGUGGAGGAUCAUUAUGACUGAAAACUGAAUGACCAAGCAAGCGGGGGACUUCAAAUCUGAAAGAAAGCAUUGUUAUGCAGUAAUAGCAGGAUUAAAGAGGGAUUUACGGGCCAUAAUGACUGAAAACAGAUUGACCAAGCAAGCCGGGGACUUAAACGCCGAAAGAGAGCAUUUUUAUGCAGUAAUAAUAGGAUUAGAGAGGGAUUUGCGGCAAUUCCAAAAGCUGAAUCAGGUAGCAGAACGAACUCUAGAGGCAAGAGCGAGAAAUUUGGGCGUUUGCUACACGAAAAAGGUGUUGUCAGGGAAAAGAUACGGGCAAUCACAGAUUAUAUAACCGCAAAGUGCAACCAUUGUGAGGAUAUGAUAAAAUCCAUGUUCUUUGCUACCGCCAUGACAUUUGUUCGUCAAGUGAUGGAAGACCUCCACCACCUCCAAAGAAGUUUAGCACGCAAGCCUACGGCGAGGCCGAACGAUGCCCCACAAGUUCCAAAAGCAGUUGAAGUCCUUAUAUAUUCAUAAUUUCUGAAAAAUUGUAUUUUUCUUGAAAGAGUCUGUCCGUCUGUAUGUUCUUUUACGCACCAUUCGAGUCUACAAGUUGUGUCCAAGUUUGGUAGUUGCCUUUAAUUUUGUUAGCUUUUGUAACCAAAGUUUUUUGUCUUUAUAAAAAUUGAAAAUCCCAAAAUAUCCUAUUAUUUCCAUCACAUUUGUUUCAUGAACUACGCUCGGUCUGAUUCAUGCGGUGUCAUGAUACGUAGUCAAUCUUAAUUGGAUUCGACCGUAUUAUUAAAAAAGGGGAAAGCGAAUAGGAAAUAAGAAGUAGAAACCAAAAGGAAGUUCGGAAUAAAUGCCGGGAUGACGCAUGUGACCAUUAAAAACAUAUAGAAUCCUGUUAAGUGUGUAGGUGCAUCAUACCCGAUAUGCGAUUUCGUAUUUUUAUCAAUCCCAACCUAACCAUUUAUUAUUCCAGUUUCCAGUCAAGGUUUUUUAGAGAACAGUGAUUGGUUUGUGGUAAUUUGACAUUGCACAUAUACUUUAUUAGAUCAAAAGGAAGUGCAGAAAUGUCAUCCGAAAUGACUCUAUAGGCAGUUCCCAUCCCAGAGGACAACCCGAUUGCAGGGAUCCCAGCCUUAGAAUCCGCGGCAGCUGAAGAAAAUAAGAUCCUUUGAGUCAGAGUUAUGGAGAUGUGGGAUGCUUGGACAAAUGGAAAAGAACCUCCAUGUGCCAUCCCCGGAUUUCCUGAACUCUUCCCCAGGUCGGGGGGUACCUCCACUAUCCCCAUCAGCCACCCAAAUAUCCUUUUGGGGCAGCCUACCAUAUCAGCCAACUUUGUCGGAGCACCUGAUGAAGCCCGUCCUCCGAUGUUCACAUCUGGCCCAGUUCCUAAUAUUUAUACGGCUCCUCCGUGCGCAGCCACCACACAACCUGCGGCGUCGAGGCCCACGUUUGAUCCUACAACGUUCACAUUUCAAACUCCCAACUACCAAACCGAGCCUCCCGCAUACCCCACAUACACUUAUCCUCAACCGGCAUAUGAAUUCACACCGAUGCAAGAUAAAACUCCUAAGAUACCUGAACAAGAUGGGAUAACAAGAACGAUGAAAACCCUUGAGCAGAGUUUGAAAAACAUGCAAGGCUUGAGUGGGCAGAAGAGCGUGUCUUACUCGGACUUAUGCAUCUUCUUGCAUGUACAUAUUCCCUUUAAAUUCAAAACACCGAAGUUUGAAAAGUACGAUGGUCAUGGCGACCCCAUUGCUCAUUUGAAAAAUAUUGCAACCAACUGCGCGGGGCAGGUGGAAAAGAAGAUCUACUGAUGGCAUAUUUCGAGGAGAGUUUGGUAGGCAUCGCUUCUGAAUGGUACAUGGACCAGGACAUCACUCGAUGGCAUAUUAGGGAUGAUCGCUCCGGAGAUUUCAUAAGGCAAUUCCAGUAUAACAUCGAAAUUGCCCCGAACAGGAACUCUUUGGCCAACCUGAAAAAGAAACCUUCGGAAAGUUUUAGCGAAUAUGCUGUCAAGUGGCGUGAACAAACGUCUAGAGUAAUAGUGCCCAUUGAUGAGACAGAGAUGGUCACUGUUUUUCUCAUGGCACAGAAGGCGGAUGGAUGAUCUCAUCCGGGAUUUCGUUAGGCAAUUCUAGUAUAACAUUGACAUUGCCCCGGACAGGAACUCUUUGGCCAACUUGAGAAAGAAACCUUCAGAAAUUUUUAGAGAAUAUGCAGUCAAGUGGCGCGAACAAGCGUCAAGGGUAAAGCCACCCAUGGAUGAGAAAGAGAUGGUCACUGUUUUCCUGCAGGCACAAGAGGCGGAUUGUUUUCAAAAUAUGAUGUCAGCAACGGGCAAACCUUUUAUGGAAGCGAUCAAAAUCGGGGAGAUGGUAGAAAAUGGCUUGAAAACAGGAAGAAUUCUCAGCCAGUCAGCCAUAAGGGCGACCUCCCAGGCCAUACAGAACGGUGCAGGAGGAGUCGCAAGAAACAAAAAGAAAGAAGAAGCUUCAAUGACAGCCUCCGACAUGAGAAGGCACCAUUCUCCCAGACCCAUGUUUUCAGAAAAGACCUCUUAACAUUACAAUCCUCAUCAAGACAUGCAUUGUGUUCCCCAACCUUAUGCUGUCAUGAAUGCCCAACCAUUUGCUCGACCACAACAUCAGGGCAACAGAAACCAGGCCCCGAGGAAUCAGCCUCCCCAAAACCACUAUGAUCCCUGCCCUCCAUAAAAUAAUUACCGUCCCAGGGAACCAUCCAGGAGACAAAAAUUUACAAAAAUAGGGGAGUUUUAUGCUAGCUUAUCCCAAAACUGGUCCAGAUGGGUCUCCUGCAGCCUGUGCCCCCGGACAGGCAGAACCCCGAGUAACCUUCCUAUCAAUGGGGUGUACGCUGUGCUUAUCAUUUCGGGGCCAAGACAUGACACCGAAAACUGCUGGCUCUGAAACGAGCGAUGGAGGAUUUAAUAGAACAAAUAAAAUAAUGAUGAGAGAUGAAGAGGUCCCGAAGGUAACCAAUAACCUGUUGCCGGCUCACAAAAAUGGGCCAGUCAUCAGAAUGAUUUGUGAGGACAAAGAGUUAGACCUUGCUUUAAAAGACAUAAUAGCCAUUGCUGAUGCAGAUAGAAAACCGAAGGUUACCUCCAAGAAGGUUGAAGAAAAGGAAACAAGUGAAUCCAAGCACCCAGAAGCAGAGAAGAAGUUUGAAAUUAAGACUGAGACGACACCCACCAAGGAAACCAUAAUUUACAUCCCACGGAGGCAUCAAGAAAAACAACCCACUCUGAGUCCCCCAAGAAGGUUUGAAUUGAACAAGACAGUGAAUAUACUUAAGGGAGCUUAUAUGGUACGGGGAUCGAUUAAACCACCAAGGCUGAAUGAGCCCGUGGUAAUCGGUUGCUUGCCUCAGAAACCAAUGACGGACCCUUUUGCAGUCCUAUGGUAUUACCAGGAAACCAUAGUAACACACAAGGGCAAAGAGAUCACCGGGGAAACUUAAAAGGGCCAUCCCACAAAGAAAUAUUCGGACAUGGAAGAAGUGAACACCGCCACCAAAAGGCGAUUUUCACCCAAAAGGCCCGUAAAUGCUAUAGAGGCAAAGGCCUUCUUUCAAAAAAUGAAAAUGACAGAAUAUGAGCUGGUGGACCAGCUCUAGAAGUUAGCCCAUAGGCUUUAUGGAUACUACCCGAGUGAGGGUUUGCUCGACCUCAGGUUAAAAUAGCCUCUGGGCCUUCAUGAUUGAGUGAGGACUUUCUAGAACUCGAAAUAGAGUUAGCUAUUACGCUUCAUAGAUAGUCCCCAAGUGAGAAUUUUCUCGAACUCGGCUAACCCUUAGGAUUAGUAGUCAGGUGAGUACUUGUUGGAACUCGAAAUAGAGUUAGCCGUUAGGCUUUAUAGAUAGUCCCCGAGUGAGAAUUUGCUCGAGCUCGGGUUAAGUAAGUCCUUGGGCUUUUAUGAUCGAAUGAGAACUUUCUCGAACCUAAAAUAAACUUAGCCUUUAGGCUUCUUUAUAUUGGCCCUUAGGCUCUUCUAGGCUAGCCCUUAGGCUCUUUUAUAUCGGGCCGAUUCAGCCUCUAAGAAGCUAUAAUUUAUCCCUGUUUUGGCUAAAAGAUUUAUUGAAAAUUUCUUUAUGCCUUAGCAUGUGUUUUUAUUACCCGUUGGUUUUUUCGAGGGUUCAAUCAAUCAGAACCUGUUCGUGUUAAUGCCUCUUGAGUCUUUUUCGAAGGAUGGUGUUAUUGAAGCCAUUAAAUUAUUUGAGGGAUGAUUUUAUUGAAGCCCAUUUUUGCUUUUGCCGAGGGUAGCCAUGUUUAACCAAUUUUUUGAAGUAUUUGAAGGCCUUUAAUUUAUGGCGGAAGUCGGACGUCUCUGAGCUGCAUUAUUUCGGCCAUGGCCUUUUACAUGACCAGAAUAUUUAAUAUGGAUGUAGCUUUUAAUAUGGCCAUAGCCUUCGGGUAUGUCUCUCGUACUUGUUUCCCGGUAGCCUUUCAAACUUGUUCGAAAGGUUAGUCCCCAAGUAUGAUGGCCUUGGCCUGUAUAUCGGGGAGUGCCUCUUUGUGGUCUUAUGAUUUCGAACAUUGAUAGCUCGAGUAGGUAGAGGUAUGCUUGCACUUGGGUUAAGAUAGCCCUUGGCCUUUUAUGAUUGAGCGAGGAUUUUCUCUAACUCGAAGUAAAAUUAUCCCUUAGGCUUCAUAGAUAGCCCCCGAAUGAGAGUUUCUCAAACUCGGGUUAAGAUGGACCUUGGGCUCUUUUGUAUUUGUUUCGAAUUCCGAACACCCUUGAUCUGCGUUAACUCGACCAUAGCACUUUUUUAGUUCAGAAUUUGUUCUUUGGGAUUUUCACUUCGAGCUUGAUCGAAGAAUCAAUCCCCGAGUGGGGUGGCGGUGGCCCAUAAAAUCGAGGAUCACCUUUAAGGUCUUAUGGUCUUGAAAUGUUAGCAAUUUGAACUUACGUUGUGAUCAACCAUUAAGAAUGUUUACAUAAUAAAUCAAGAGUAUGAAAUAACAAAAUUUUCUAGAAGCAUGAGAUAUCGGUAAGGAAAGAUACUUCUCUCAAUAGACGAUUACACAUGUGUGCAUGUUUGAUGUUAGGGCUCUAGUAACUUAUAUGGGCACGGCUCAUCUGAUCGUUUGACCCUUACAACAUUUUUCUAUCAAGGCCCCGUUGUAAUGAAGUAACUUUCUUGCAAUAAAGCGGACAUUAGAGAGUAAUGCCUCAUAGAUCUUGAGGCUUAUUUCAGGGAACCUUGGAUACUAACGUAAGUCAGUACGAACAAUGGUUGCCUCGUUAAAGACCUUGUCGGAAAAACCCAUUCGGGACAAAAUUUGGUCCAAGGGAAAAAGAGUGCAAUGCGUGCUUUAAGAUUCAAAGUGUUGGCCCAAGUAAAUGUGAAGUUUUGAACACUUACAAAAGAACUCAUGCAUGGACUAGGUCCAACUCGUGAAACACAGUUGUGAUCAACCCAAACAUAUGAGAUGCACGUGAAGGAGAUAAAUCUAACUUAUCUGAAAUGAAAUCAUCUGAUCAUGAUCGAAAAUAUUGCAUAUUGGAUAAGGAGAAAGACUCCUUACACAAAGAGAACACAGUUUAGGAAAAGGAUAGAGUUGGAGCAUGAGAUCAAUUAGAACUCUUCCACCAUAGAAGAGUAGCAUCUGUAUCCUAGUAAAUCUCUAAUUACUAACUCUUUAAAUGUCACGACCCUAAAACCGACCCAAUCGUGAUGGCGCCUAUCAUAAAACUAGGUCAGGCGACACAACUCCCGAAUUGACCAUUAAUAAAUAUAAAUCAUUUCUAAGCUUUUAAUUAAUCCAAAUAUCUCAUCAUAUAAGUCUAAAUGAACAGUGCAAAAUAAAUAUACAAGCCCGGCAUUGGGGUGUCACAAGUCAUGAACAUCUACUAAGGUCUGCAUAUAAUCAAGAGUCUGAAAAUAUACUAAAAACACUCUAAGGAAGACAAGAAGGAUAAGAGAAGGCUUGUGACUGUCAGGCUGCCUUGCUAACUCCGAUGACUCUGCCACUGAGCAAUCAACACCCACUACCGGGUUCAGAAAUACAUGAAUCUGCGCACAAGGUACAUGGAGUAAUGUGAGUACGCCAACUCAAUAAGUAAUAAAAGCAAAUGAAAGCUGAGCAAUAAGAAAACAUGAAAACCACGUCAAAACGCUACAACAAAUGUAGGAUGAUAACUAGGGAUUCUAGUUCAUUUUAUACUUCAUUUUACUUGAGUUUUGGUUAAAAUAUAUACAAAUAGUCCCAAAGGCUUAGAUAUUGUGCUUGUUUGUAGGGUUUGGUCAAAGAGUUGACAAGAAGUCAAAACCAGCUAAAAAAGGAGUAAAACCUGCACAAGUACCAAGCACAAGUCAAAGCACAGCUGCAACAUAUCCACUGCGGCUGCAAUCCAUUUAGUGUAGUCCGGAGUGAGGAGAUUUAGAGAAGUGCAAUUUUAGAAGCUCAAGCACUGCGACCACAAACCAUUUUGUGCGGACUGCAGUAGCAUCACUACGGUUGCAAUCGAUUUUAUGCGGUUCGCGGAGCAGAGAUUCAGAGAACUGGGAUUUCAAUUGUUGGAAGCCACUGCGGCCACACACAAUUUCAUGUGGAUUGUAGUGAAGCCACUACGACCGUGGUGCAUUUUAUACGACCCGCGGUGGAUAGAUUCAAAGACCCUAAAAGUCAAGCCAAAAGCCUCAUCGCGGUCCGCAUGUGUAUUCUACGUGGACCACAAUCCUGUCAGGGGUAUUUUUAUCUAGGAAAUUUGGCGUAGUAUAAAUACUUUCAUUUCACAUUUUAGGUAUCUUUUGUAAUCUAACUUUUGUUGAGCAUGUCAACGGUAGUUCUUGAUUAUUUUGAAUAAUUUUAUAGUGGGUUUAUCAUUGAAUCUUCAAUUAUUAGCUUGUAAUCAAAUAUUAUGGGGUAUUCUUCAUCUAUUUAUCAGUUUUCUUCCAUUAUUAUGAGUAGCUUGACCCAUUAGCUAGGGUUGUGGUUCAACCCUAGUAUGGGUAUUUGAUAUGUCUUGAGUUUUAAAGCUUAAAUAUUUAUGGGUGUUUGAUAUUUGGACUAAUUUGUGUUUUCCAUGUUGAAUUAGUGGUUGCAAAUACUAGUUUAUGCCUUUUUGACUUAGGAUCUUCUUGAGAAAGAGAGUUCGAGUCUAGGAAAAUUAGCCCAACAAGGAAAUGGGGCAUAUUCAAGAGAUUGAUAGCCCCAAUUAAAGGGAUAAUAAUACCCGACUUGAACUUAUAUUUCUUUCACAAUUUCAAUACCCAAUUGGUCUUGAGAAAGUCAAUUAGGGCAAAAUCACUCAAACUACAGAGAGGUAUAUAGUGAGUAGUUCUGUGCAUUGGUUAUAUCGUAAUCCCCAACAAAAUAAUUCUUCCUUAGACUUUAGAUCCUGUCAAGUAGUCACCUAGAAGAGAGUCACUUCCUUAGUGCCUCUUUAACCAUUUAGAAAACCUUACAAGCAUUUCACUCUUAGUUUAAUUUACCAUAUUAUUAACAUAAAAAUUAGAUGUAACAAACAACCAAAGAUGAUUGGAAGUAUAAUGAAGAGCACUAUGCACUACUAGUUUCAAUAGGAAUCCAAUUCCCACUUCCAGCUCCAUGUGGAUUCGAUCCCGGCCAUCUCAGGUAAAAGCUGCUUCGAUCGCUCUUGCCACUUUGUAUUAGUGUAGGGUUGGCCCCGUUCACCUUUUGGGGAGGUUGCUGGGGAUUUAAGUCAGACGCUUCUUGGAAGGCAACCCACGUGUCUUUCUUUUUAUUUUUCUUUAAUUUUUUUUAGUGUAGGAUUUGGACUAACUAGUUAUGAGAUGUGUGUAGGAUUGUUUUUAUGCAGUGCGGGACCAAGUUGGGAAAAAUUUGCAAAUGCCUUAUUGCAGGGACAACAUUUCAAUGCAGCCAGCAAUGUUGAUUGGUAAAGAAUGGGGUUCUCUGAAGUUAUCCGCCACGGCUGAACUGCAUUUUGUGCGGUCCGCGAUGGACCACUGCGGCCGCAGUGCAUUUCUUACAGUAUGCACUAGAUGUCUCCCCAGUGCUCUAUGUUUCUGAGUACCACGGACCGGGUUGCCAUUUUGUACGGUCCGCGGUGCGUAGGUAUAGUGGGUCGCAGGGUCCUUUUCUAUAAAUAGGACCUCAGGGCUUCAUUUACCCUUUUCGCUCUUUGCUCACUCGAUAGUAAAAAUCACUGUUCAUACUAGCCCUAAGUACAAAUUUCACGCAUUGUCUCUCAAUCAUCUGUGUGCAUAUCAUAUUUGGUACUUCAAAUUCUUCCUAAUCUUUUAUUUUAUUUUAUCUAAAUUUUUUAGUUUUUAUUUAUUUUUCUUCUUGUUUUCUUUUAAUCUGUAUCUUAGGGUUGUUUAAUAAUUUUUAUAUUAGGUUUAGUUAGUAAAUAAUGUUGAUUAAACACCUAGACGAUCAAUAAAAUGUGCAAAUAAGGUUAAAAAUGUGAAGAAAAUUGAAAACCUAGGUUGGUAGUGUUGUUUAUGCCUUACCACGAUCCGCGAUAGAUUACCUGCGGUCCGUGGUGCUCCUACGCGGUCCGUAAUGCCAUUUUUGUGCGGACCGUGAUGGUGAUACUUCAGAAAGUCAAAAAUGAAGGACCGCAGUCGUGGUCAAUUUUGUGCGGUCUAUGGUACCUUAGCGUAGCCGCAGACUAUUUAUUGUAGUCUGCGGUGCCUAGAAUCAGAGAGUGGGUAUUCUGACCUCCUCCUCAAUACGCACCGCUGCCAUUUUCUGUGGUCCACGGUGGUUCUUUUGCGGCCACACUGCAUUUUGUGCGGUCCACAGUCUGCUAUCUGUGACUAUUUUCUUCUAUUUUUGGAAUUACUUCAUUCCUUGGUUCUUUUGAUAUUGUGACACUAACAAGCUUCAACUGAAUUCCACUUGCAGAAAGUGGUUAAAUCACGAAGUGGAGGUGGAAAACAAAAAGGAAAAGGCGAGUCCUCCCGGGGUAGGGGACAUGCCAUGAUCAGGUUAACCCCACAAGUCCAGCAGGUAAUCAAACACACCAGGAAGUCAAUAAGGGUUGCAUAUAGAGCUGCUUCCCAUUCAGGAAGUGAGUAUGUGCCCUCUCUGGUGGCAUCUGACUUCGACCCUUUGUCAGAGCAUGUUCCUGACUUGCCGGAGAGGCAUAGAUUGAGAGGUACACCUCCGAGUCUCCUACUACUCAAUCUUUAGUGGCAACUUCUUUUGAGUCAUGUGAGGGCUAAGCUGAGAGCGGUGACGGUGUCUCUUCAACCUCACCUUCAGCUUCAACACCCGGUGAGGAUCCCAUAGAAUACGAACACGGAUGGUAUGAGCCUGAAGUAGAAGUGUUGGACGGAACAAGUAAAUCAGAAGCUUGGCAAGAUAGGUUUGUUAGUAAAAUGGCCAUAAGUUCAGAGAAUGGUGGCCAGAGAGGAACUUAAUACUUGAACGAUGAUUCAUCGACAAUGAUCUUCUGCCUCACAACCCAAACAUGUAGAGGCAAUUGAGAGAAACAUUGGGUUGGGACUAUUUCACAGGAAACGUUGAGGAUGCAAAUGAGCACUUGGUGAAGGAAUUUUACGCUAAUGUUGCGCACAUCAAAAAGUGCACUAUAGUGACUAAGGUGAAAAAUUUGAAAGUAAAAUUUGAUGGGAAAACAAUCAAUGACUAAGUGAGCUUUCCGGAGGACGAUGAACCAUUAUACUUAGAAAAUGUAGCAUUGAGGAAGGAUGCCUGUCUGUGGUUAGUAGAGUACUUGGCAAUCCCAGGUGCCACCCCAGCAUGGUUGAUAUCGGGAGUAAAAUUUUUGAGUAGAACCCUGAACUUUGAGAAAAAAGGGUGGGCGACAUUUGUUUGCAGCAAGCUAGACCCCACCACUCAUGAGAACUCUCUUCCUAUCUCCCGGGCAAUAUUGGUAGCUUCUAUCAUGGCAGGGUACCCAAUUAACAUCGAGAAUGUUAUGCCCAAGGUAAUCACACUGGUGGUCUAUGAAGGUGAUAGAUCAUACCCCUUCCUAAAUUUCCUGACUAUGUACUUUGAGUCCUGGGUUGUAGAAAAAAGGGGAUUCAAUGUCAAUGUGAUAUCGAAGGCACAGCCUACAGGGUGAUGACAAACCCUAAGGCAAAGCUCCUAAUGGCAAAUCUACUGCUUCUACUGGCUAGUCUGAAGAGUUCGUAGUAGUAACUCAUACUCAACCUCCUUCAGUUACCCCAGAUAUGGCCCAGGACCCUCUACUCCUACUACCCCAGAUAUCCCCACAUCUUCAGCCUACAAAUUAACUGGCCACUGUCUAAACCAGAUCCUUGUAAGUAUCAACAACUGGAUGCAGGCAGCCACUUCUAAGUUUUUUGUACUUUCUACCUCGGUGGCAGCCCAAUCGGUACCCCCUUAGCCACAGGUCCCACCAUCAAUGGAGGACACUCUCAAGGAGCUUCUAGAAAACUACAAGAAUCUCUUAUAGAACCAGUAGUUGAUAUUAGAGGUUGUCGGUACACAUGGGAAAGCAUUGAAGGAGCUCACAGAGAAACAAAGAAGUUGAGAAAGACUCAUGCAUCAAAGGAAUCAGUGAAAGAGUUGAGGCCGGGGGUAGAGAAAUUAAAGUCUGAUCACUUGCCUUUGGAGCUAUUAUUGUAUGACCUAGCUCCAGCAGUCCAGCUUGAUCCGGAGCAGGAGGUGGAUGCGCUAGCGAUGAGGAAGAGGGCGAUUCCCCGUGCUGAUGAUGUUGUGAUAGAGUUGGAGGACCCGCAGGGAGGUUCCUCUAGCCAGUCUCAGGCCCCAGUGCAGGCUAGGACCUAGUACAGGCCCAGGACCCAGUGCAGACAUAAGUUACAAGGGUCCAGUCAUAGGUUCCCGAGCAGUCCGAAGACCCAGGGACCCAGACUAAUGAUUAUAUGCAAACGGAGGGCCAAUAGGGAGUUUCUCUUUUCUCUAUCUUUUAUUGAUAUUAUUUUGGUUAGUUAGUGAUCGCGGCCUACUCCUCACUACUAAUUAAGUAGCGAAAGUGGGUCGGAGCAGCUUUUACCCGAUUUAGGGUCGGGAUCGAUAUCCACAGAGAGCUAGAAUUUGGAGUCGAGUAUCUAUCUAGUGUAGAGUUGUGUGUGUUCUUAAUUAAACAUCUAAACUUUUUUGGGUUUUUGAUUAACUACUAAUUUUAUUAACUACAAAUGGUAAAUAAAACUUGAUUAAGCUAAGAGUUAUAAUGUUACUGGUUGUUCAAUUGGUUAAAAAGGCACUAGGGUAGUGACUUUUGCCUAGGUGGUCAAUUAACGGGUACUUAAGUAUAAGGCACGUUUUACAUAUUUGGGGAGUAUGAUAUAACUAUUGCAUGACUCUACCCACUCUACGCCUCUCGGUGGUUUGAGUGAUCCCAAAUUGACUUUUUCAAGACCAAUUAGGUAUGCAAAUAUGCACAAACAACUAGGGUUCAAGUCGGGUAUUACUCUCUCGAGGUUUAACCUUUUAAUUGGGGAUAUCAAUCUCAUGUGUACGCCCCAAAAUCUUGUUGGACUAAUUUCAGAUAGUUGGGCUCUCUUUCUCAAGAAAAACCAAAAUCAACUAAGCACAACUAGUGUUUGCAACCACUAAUUCAACAACUAAACAUAAAAUUAAAUUCAAAUAUCAAACACCCAUAGUCAAUUUAGCCCAAAAAUAUAAGACCCAUUAAUUGUCCACCCUAGGGUUGAGCCACAACCCUAGCUUAUGGGUCUAGAUACUCAUAUUUGAAGAAGAAAAACAAGAAAUAGAUGAAGAAAAACUCAUAUUAGUUAAUUACUAAGAUAAACAACAAGAUUCAAUGAUGAAACGCAGAUAAAAUAGCCCCAAAUAACUAAAAACUUCGAACCCAUGAGCGGAACUAUGUUAUGAUACUAUCUGCUUGACCUAAAAAUGGAAAAGAAACUAUUUAUACUAAGCUAGCAAUUCUAGACAAAAAUGCCCCUGCGGGGUUAGUGCGGACCUCACAAAAUGGACUGCGGUCUGCACUAGGGCUUUGGACUUGAAAAAUAUGCUCUCUAAAUCUGGGCACUGCGGACCGCACGGAAUGGACUGCGGGGGCGGAGGCUUCUAGCGCGGUCCGCAUAAAAUAGACAGCAAACUACAUUGGCUUGACACUGGGAGAUUUCAACUCUCAGAUUCUACUCACCGUGAACCUCAAAUGGACUGCGGCUGCGGAGGCUUCUAGUGCGGUCCGCAUAAUAUGGACUACGGAUCGCAUUGCCUUUGUGCCUGAAUAUUAUCUCUUUGAAUCUCGCAGUGGAGACCGCACAUAAUGUAGUGCAGCCACACUGGCCUUAUUUUGCCGUUGCUUUAUCUUUUCUUGGUACUUGUGCAAGUUUCACUCAUUUUGAGCUGAUCUUUGACAUCUUGUCACUUUGUUGAUCAAACCUGCAAUCGAGCACAACUUGUGAGCCUUUUGGGACUCUUUUGUAUGACUUUCUAAUCAAAGCAUAAGCAAGAAGGAGUAUAAAUGAGUCAAAAUAUAUAAUUAUCAACUCCCCCAAACUUAAGAUUUUUCUUGUCCUCAAGCAAAAAAAAAAACACCUACCCCUUAAGGGAACAUCCAAGAAAUUUUCAGCUGUCCUAAAGUAACCUCAUCUAGCAUCUAUUGGGACUAACAAUUGCCCUCAAUACAAAUGAAUCAUUAACAACUUUUACUCUUUGAAACUCCAUGGAUUAAGUGCAACACAAGAGUAUCAAAAUUUGACUCAACGCAUCAAAGAACUCUUUCUACUACUUUGGUCAUUGUGGAACCCAAACUCACACAUCCUCAGCUUUCCUAAGCAAACCUCACCAUUAGAAUAUGGCACUCAUUACGAGGUUAAUAGGAAUUCACUCGUCUCUAAAAAAGAAAAGUCAAAAGAUCGGUUAUAAGUACCAUAUGCUUGCCCUUUAUGUGAGUAUCCACUAAUAUAAGCUUCAUCCAACUCAAGAUCAUAUAGGUCUUUUGUGGAGACAUUGUGAAGGCUUUUGGUUUUAGGGUAGGAAAUGUUUGGUCUAAGUAGGUUCCAUCUUCCCUUAAGCACUUCUUUUAUUUCAUUUGGCACAUAUACUUGACUCGUUGAGUCAUUUUACUUGUUUCUAAGGGGUUAGAGAGACAGACUGUCACUCUUUCUUAAACAUUUAAAAUCUUUUCUCAUUUUUCAACUUUCGACACCUUUCAUUCUUUGCUUUUCUUGAAUCCCUUUUUAUUAUUUUUCACAUUAAAUAUUUUUUUGUCUUUGUGCUCUUCUUUCUUUUUCAUUGCCCUUCCUUUUCUUUAUUUUUAUUCCUUUUUACCACUUUGUUACAAUACUCGUCUCUCCCCCCAAACAUAUAUUUUUGCCAUGUGCUAAAGGAAUGAUAGGGUGCCAAGAGAGGGUAUCUUUUAGAACGGGUAAAGGCUUGUAUCACGAUUUUUGAAAGAAAAUGGUGUGAAGCUUAAAAGGGUUGACUGGGGAUCUUAUCAUUGGUAGGUUAUCGAUGUGUUCAACUGUUAUUUGGAACAAGGAGAGCCUAUAAUCUUGUCUCAAGUCAAAAUUCUCUUAGGAUUUCGCCUCAACAAACAUUCAGGGAAUGUUCUAGACCAAUGGCUUGGGACUUGGACUUGCAAUGUGAUUACUCACCACACAAGCUAUGAGAUUUCUAAAGACACAGAGUCAGGGGCCCACAAUGACCUUAGAUAAGAUUUGUGCACACAAUGGUCCCAAAAAAUCACUUGAUGAUUAUUGGUCAACACAAGAGUCUCAAGGUCACGACUUUCACCAUCCUAAACACAAAAAAUUUAUUUUUGACCAUAAGAUCAAAAGAAAAUGUGCUAGGCCCAAGUAAGUUUUGCUUGAGGAACCCUUAACUACUAGAAACAAAAAUAAAAAUGGACUUAAACCCAUAAUAAGGUUGUCACGCCAUCCAUUAUUAGGAAGAACUACCCGGUUCACAUAACACUCUACCUUUGGAAAGAACCGUCGCAUUAAGAAUACCAAGGGCUUAUUGCAAACUUUCAAAACAAGAUGCUAUGAAUCACAAAUAAAAAAAGACGUAUAACAAAUAAGAAGCUAAAAAUGAGAAACUUUUGUGAAAAGCAGAAUGAACAUAUACAAGAGGGAUUUGAAUAUACAAUAGAAGGGAUGAAUAUGUACAAUGUAACAUACUUGAUAUACAGACCCAAAGUAAAACAAAAGUGCGAUAAGUGUACCAAAUGUUAAUAUUAUAUGCAACCCAAAGAUGAAAAAUCAAGAAAGCAAAAAAAGGUAUCAAAUAUAUAUACAAUCAUCCGAAUAAAUCCAAAUGUAGGUCCUACCUCUUCAAAUAAAUGUUGGCAUUGUUCCCAAUGCCAACCAAAUAAAAUAAGCACCAAAAAAAUAAUGGAGAAGAAAGACUCUUUAUGGCUUGUCUGUCUGCAUAGGCUCCUAAAAGGUCCCUAGGUCCUUACUAUGCUCAGGAACCUCAGACCAAUUCCUUGUUACCGGCUGCUCCGCUACUGGGACCUGGGCCAGGACCUGGGCAGGCGUUGGAGGUGUAUCUUAUGGCUAACUAGAGGAAGCCUUAGGUGGGUCAACUAACUAGAUGACUGCAUCAUCAGCUCUAGAAAUCAUCCUUUUCUCUUGGGAGGUCUCUAUGACUGCUCUGCCUGAGGAUGAUCUGCUUGGAGUAGUAUAUCUAAAGACAGGUGAUCUGCCUUUAGUCUAUCUACAUCAACUCUCAACUUCUUCACGGACUCCUUGGAGGCCCGUGUCUUCCUUAGCUUCUUGUGCUCCUUAGCAAGGUCCUUGAGAGCCUUUCUAUGUGAAGCAACUACAUCCGUCAAAACCUUUUGCUUGUCGAGGAUUUUCUUCUGGUUCUCUAUAAUCUCCUUGAGAGCAUUGUUGAUCGACAAGGUAGAGUCUUUCUAUGUGAAGCAACUACAUCCGUCAAAACCUUUUGCUUGUCGAGGAUUUUCUUCUGGUUCUCUAAUAUCUCCUUGAGAGCAUUGUUGAUCGACAAGGGAACCUGUGGGGCUGGAGUUUCCGACUAAGCCUCUACCAUGGUAGUCAGGAUGGACAACUUGGAUGAGGCAGUCUGCAUCCAGUUGUUGAUAAUAAGAAGUGGCUGGCUCAAUUGGUGGGCAGUAAUAGGACGGGAAAGAUGGGAUCUCCGGGGCAGCUGAGAUGGAUGAACGAAGAGGGGCAGCAAUGGAAGUAGAGGCAGGCUCAGUUGGAGUCACUACUACAACGGGCUCUUCAGACUGGCCAGUCAGAGUAGUAGCUGUACUCUUGAAGGUCUUGAUCUUGGGGUUAUUAUCCCCCUGCAUACUAUACCAAGAACAUGGGGCCUCCACUUUGACCUUGAGGUUAAAGGGUCUCUUUUCCACUUUCUUAUCCCGGAAAUACAUGUGAGGAAACUGAGGAACGGGUAGUUUCUAUCAUGCUCCGUACCCACAACUAAAAUUAUUCUUGACUUUACAUUCCCUACGUUGAUUGGGUACCUUUCCAUGAUCGAAGCCACCAAAAUUGCGCGGUGAAGAGGUAGGUUGCUGUCAUGAGUGAUAGGGUCCAACUUGCUACAUACGAAUGUCUCCCACCCCCUCGCUUCAAAGUUCAAACUAUGCCUCAGAAUUUUGACUCUAGCAGCCAACCAGUUGGGGGUGGUACCUAGAAUUUCCAGGUAUUGUGCUAGCCAGGGACGGACCUCUUCACCCAUUUCCAUCUUUGUCAUGCAUAAGGUCUCAUCCUCGUCAUCAAAGCCAAGGUAGUCGUUGAUUGUCUUCCCAUUAAAACAACACCUUUAAGUUCCGCACCUUGGGUCACCUUUGUACCCUUUUUUAUAUGGGAAACAUUAGCGUAGAAUUCUUUGACCAAGUGCUCAUUGGCAUCCACCCAAUAGGACAAAAAGUGCCCCCAGCCAAUUCUCUCCCUAAAUUGCCUCAUCACAUUGGGGUUGUGAGGUAGCAAGUCUCUAUCUACGAAGCUCCUCUCCAGGAUCAACUUCCUCAUCGAUAUGCUACUUCACUAACAAAUCGGUCUUGCCACACCUCCGGCUUCCUAGUUCGAGAAACAAUCCCCACCUGUGGUUCUCCUCCUUCUCCUACUUCUUCUUCUCCCCUACUUCCUCCUCAUCAACUACUGCACCUUCUCAUGAUAAUGAAGCUGUGAGAGAGGUAGAGUAUUACCCACUACCAUCACCCAAGCCCUUAGACGAACCAAAAGAAAUAUUUACAGAUACUUGGUCAGUGGGGGAUGUUGGAGGAGUACCUCUCAGUCUAUGCCUCUCCGGCUCGUUAGGGAUAUGAGUUAGUACGGAAUCUGAAUAAAUCUCCCGGGAAGGCUCGUACUCACUUCGCGACAUGUCAAUGGCUCUAUCAACAACCUUCAUCAUCUUUAUUGUCUUUUUUAUAUUUUCUCAAACUUGGGGAGCGAGUUUUAUCAUAUUCUGCUUCCUGCUCUGGGAGGAUUCCCAUCUGCCCAGUUGUUUGGAUCCUUUACCUCUAUGUUGUUUCACCAUUGUCCUCAAAUAUAAUUCAAUUGAACUUGUUAAUAUCAGUUGCAACAGUUAAGAACAGAGUUGCAGGAUCAGUAAAGAAAAAGUUGCAGACAUGUUGUAGAAGUCACAUAGUGAGGACUGCACAAUAUCAACCGCGCCGCACUGGAGUCACCAGUGACCACACAAAAUCAACCGCGGUCUGCACAGAGAUAGGAUUCAGACUACCCACUCUCUGUAUCACAGAAGUGCGGACCGCACAAAAUGAAUCCUGGCCGCACUGGGGCCACUACGGUCCACAUAAAAUAUGGUGCGCCGCUGUGCCUAAGGUUCAGUAAUAAGAAGUUCAUCAAUGCAGUCCGCACGAAAUGGUACUACGGACCGCACAAGGGCACCACAAAUGGCAUAGAAAUGAAUAAAGUCCGCAAAGGGUGCCAUGCUGUGGCACUAACUUAUGGUUUCACAUAUUUGGAUUUUGGGUCCAAUUUACCACCUAAGUAGUGUCCCUACAUGAUUACCUAUUGGUUUAAACUAUCUACAUCUAUUUUAAUCCAAAAAUUAACAACCCUAACCUUCUUAAUUGAAGAAAAAUAUAGGAAGCAUAAAACGGGAGGUGAGAAAAACAUAAAUUAAAAGAAAUUAAAAAAAUUGAACAAUCAAAAUAAAGAUAACGGUACCAGAUGUGAGAUGAAAUGAAGCUAAGCAGUUCCAAACAGUUAAUUUUGAUCAAAUAAGGUGAUGAAUAGAGUUCUAAGGUUUCUGAGAUGCAACAGUUCAAAAAGUGAAAAAGGUUGGGCCUCAAGGAAUAUUUAUAGAAAAAAACCAUGGGGCCCAGUUUACCUACGCCUGUGCGGACUGCACAAAAUGGAUUGCGGUCCGCACUGCACAAAAAAUUUGAAGCUUGAGUGUUACACCUCUUUUUACCGCUUACACGUGGUUACCCCGAAAGGUGACUCGUGUAUAGGAUUUUUUCCAAUUAAAGUGACAUUAUUCGAGAUAGGAUUAAUUAUUUUAUUUAAGAGUCGCCACUUGGGAUAGGUUUGGCUUUUUGGUGUCCCAAGUCACCGAUUUAUUUAAAAUCCCAAAUCGAGGAAAUUUCAACUACCCAAUUGGAGUCUGCGAACCUGAAAUUCUUGAGUAAGGAAUUCUGUUGACCCGAGGGAAGGUGUUAGGUACCCUCGGAUCCCGUGGUUUGGCUUUUUGGUGUCCCAAGUCACCGAUUUAUUUAAAAUCCCAAAUCGAGGAAAUUUCAACUACCCAAUUGGAGUCUGCGAACCUGAAAUUCUUGAGUAAGGAAUUCUGUUGACCCGAGGGAAGGUGUUAGGUACCCUCGGAUUCCGUGGUUUCAGCACGGUCGCUUAAACUCAUUAUAAGUGGCUGAAAUUUGAUUUGCUAUAUCUGUUAACCUGCAAUUUAGAUUAUUAACCGCUUUUAACAUAUUUUUUAGUAAAAUUUGCAGUGUUAUUAAAACAUGUCGUGAAUCGCGUCACAUAAAUGCACCAGCAAUUUUAGACAUAUUUUAAUUUCAUUGAGAAUAGGAUUUGGGUCACCUAAAUACGCGCAUGAAUUUAGGAAGGUAUUUUAUUAAAUAUGCGCGCCUAUAGCAACUACCUCUUUGACAUUUAUGGGAAGGCCGUGAAAUUUGCUAAACGACACUUCCUAUUUUUCUAUGUGUUUUAAUAAAUUAAGGAGCCAUCACAUAGUAUUUGCUUGAAUUGACGCGACUCAUUUAUAUUUUUGUAAUGACAUCCUAAUCCAUGCUAAAUUUUCUACUCUUGCGCGUGCUUAAAUGCACUAAUUGUUUUAUGUAUGGACUGUGUAUUGGAAAAUAUUAUGUGUACCUUAGCCUCAUUCAUGGCUAAUUGCACAUACUGUUUCCGAUUUGGGCCAGCCCAAGAGUACGUAUUACUUGGCUACAAGUGGCAGUUAUUGCGACAGGCCUAGGUUUUUAAUCACUCAGCCCAGACAACAUGUUGAAUUACAACAUUUGGGUACUUACUGGGCCUCGCGAAUGAGCCCGGUAUUGGUUUGGACAAAAGAGUCCAGUCCUCAGUAACCAUUUUGGUUCAAAAUCAUAUACAAAGUUGAGUAUCUAUACAUUUACGAAGGAAAUACUAACAAUCAUUUUUUUAUAUCAAACUUUAACAUUGGAUAUGAACCAACUGAUUCAUAUACUCGACAGUCAGAGUAUAUGAAUCUAAUUUUCAAAAUUCAGUUACAACUUUGGUCACAACUUAUAGAUCUGAAACAAAUAUGACUAAUAUGUUGAAAUCUAAACUAAUUAAAAACAUUACCAAGCAUUUAGACUUCAACUAGCAAUUAAGUUAUUAUUUCCUGAAUCCUAUUACUUAAAGCUACGCAGGAAUUAAGCAUCUAAAACACUCAAACCACUUAGUGAACUACGCUAUCAACUAUUCAUGCUUCAAAAUAAUAGUUUGAAUGUUCUGAUUAUUACAAAUAGACCAGUCUCAGAAGUCCAGUUAUUACAAAAUGAAAUAGUCCAAAAGUUUAACUACAACAGGAUAGUCAUCUUAUUAUUACACAUAUAUUCAAACUAAUAAGGAAAAAAGUAAACAAUACAAAAAUGAUAACAACUGGAGAUCUUCACAUUUGGGAAUAUAUAUUUCACUUGAACUUCAUAUGUACAUGAACAUUGAAUGUACCUGUAAUGCACCAGAAGAAACAAGCCUAUGAGUAAAUGUAAGAGACCAGCUAAGCAAUCAACAGCCAAAUACACAGUGCAUCCAGUACUUCAGCAGAGUUUUUAGAGAAUUAAGUCCUUAGAAAAAUAAUUCAAAACUACACUAAUAGUAUUUUCAGAUAUAGGAAUAAGUAUUUCAGCUCUAGUACUCAAAAAGAAGGUUCUGGAUCCUUUUACAAUGCCUAGAUGGUUCAUUUUAUAGCAAAGCUUUUAGGGCAUCAGAUUUUGCCUUGUUUUCUUUUUAGUCCUUAACUCAAAUUGCAUUUNNNNNNNNNNNNNNNNNNNNNNNNNNNNNNNNNNNNNNNNNNNNNNNNNNNNNNNNNNNNNNNNNNNNNNNAAAUGAUCCUUCAAUAAGCUUUUAGGGCAUCAGAUUUUGCCUUGUUUUCUUUUUAGUCCUUAACUCAAAUUGCAUUUUGUCUAAAUGAUCCUUCAAUUCCUGACUUGUGCCUCAAGUUUUAAGCAAGAAUUAUGUUUUAGUCCUUCCUAGAAGGUUCUAAGGGAUUACUAUCAGGUUUUUUACAGGUUCAAAUCCCUCUUAUGCCCUCACUUCCUUUCCUAAUUACCAUCCCCUGAAAUUUUGACAUGAGUUCCUUAACCCGAGUUUAGUUACAAUUGACCCUGGUCAAUCAAAUUUAGGUCACAUUUUAAUCUUGGAAUAACAGGGUUUAAAAUCAACCAAAACUACCAAGUAUUACAAACCAAUGCCUUAAUGUAGACUUUCAACACACAAACAUUAUUCCGGAUUGUCAAAACAAAAGAUCAAAAUAGCCAGAAGAAGGCAUAUAUCAACACUUGGUUUUCAGAGAUGGCUCAAUCAAGGAUACUCAGAAAUACUUAAGAACGAGAAGCACACAGCAAAAAUGAUACAUUCAACUUAUGCAUCAAAUUGGAAGAAUAAAAGCUAACCCUUGCAAUUAAAGGUCUAUCCCAUCAAUCACCCUAAACUAGACCUCAAACCCUUAGGAGCAUGAAUCAACCAAACAUACCAGAAGUCAACAAAUAAAGAUCAAAAGACGGAGGUCAAUCGAGCCCUAAAAUCAUAUUACUGAAGAAUAAACAAAAUUAGGCUUUCCAAAAUCAGGGAACUAAUACUAGCAAGAUAUCAAUAUUACUCAACAGAUGAAAGGAUUUCAGAUUUGUAACAAACAAAAGCACAUGACCAUUUAAACCUACUUCAGGCGAGACGAUGGACAAAGAAGAAUUUAAAAGAAAACAUCUAAGAGCAUUGCUAUGAGCUAAUAGAAAUACAGAAAAGAUGAAUCACUCAGGCAAAUAUAUACAGAAGAAAACAAAUAAUUAGGAAAAAUAAAUAUAGAAAAGGCGAGGUACUUAGCUCCUAGGAGGCUUUCAUGGUUCUGAGACUCAGUGUGGUCUCAGAUUUGGAUUUGUUUGGUGGUUGAGGGUGUUUCGGAUUCAAGGGUGGCAUGGUUCGGGACUGGAGGGAUUAGGGAUUGUCUAGGAGAAUUUUGAGGCAUUUCCGACAGGUUUUGAGAUUUAGGGUUAACCUUUGAAUUGAUAUUCGAAUGGUUUCAGGUAGAUUCGAUAGGGGUGAUAUACAUGGUUGGAUAGGGGAAAUUGAGGUUCCUUAGGGGUGUAAAUUUGGAGGGCUUUGGAUCAAGGUCGCCGGAGAUAGGGUUUCCGAUGACCUUUCGGAGAAUAUUUGAGAUGAUGGGGGGGGGGGGGAUUCGGGGGGGGGGGNNNNNNNNNNNNNNNNNNNNNNNNNNNNNNNNNNNNNNNNNNNNNNNNNNNNNNNNNNNNNNNNNNNNNNNNNNNNNNNNNNNNNNNNNNNNNNNNNNNNNNNNNNNNNNNNNNNNNGGGGGGGGAAGGGGGUGUCCUAGUGGUUCUAGGGUGUAAAAGUGGAAGGGUUUGGUACAAGGUCGCCGGAGACGGUGGUUCCGACGACCAUGUUUUUGGAUAUUUGAGACGUAGGAGGCAUGUUCGACGGAAACUGACCAUAGGAUGGAUAGGGGAGGUCAUAACGGUUGAGUUGUGUAAAUCAGGGGCAUUUUGGUUGCCGACCGUCUCUGUGAGGAGAUUUCCGACGGUGGUAGUAGGGUUGUAGGCUGGUGGUCAAGGGACGGUCAAUGGUGGUCAAUGGGAGGCGUUACAGCCGGAGAAGAUGGUGCGAGGAGGGUGAUGUGUGGUCAUAUAUACAUUUUUCGAGCGAGGGUUUAAUGGCCCUUGGAUGAGAUGGGGAUGGACGGCUGUGAUGAUGGGGCUCCUAAGCGGUGUCGUUUUGUUUAGUGUUGUGUGGACUUGAUCAGGCUGGUCAUUUAGGCUGGAUUGUAUAUUGUUUUAAAGGAGGAAACAGGUUGGGCCACUCAGGUGUAGCCCAAUUGUGGCCAGCCUGAGUGGCUGUAUAUAUAUACAUACAUAUUAUAUAUUUUUUUCUUUUCUUUUAAUUUAAAAAUAAUAAUUUCUAACUUUAUUAUAAGGCCAAAAUAUCAUAAUUAUCAAAAACUAACCAAGUUGAAUUUAAACCAAAAUAAUUUUAAAUGCAGGAAUAUGUAUAUAUAUAUUUUUUUGUAUAUUAAUUUGUAACACCAAAUUUAUUUAACAAUUAAAUUUUAAACCAUUUUUAACAUGCAGUAAUGAACAUGCACAUGCAGUUAAAUCCUAAAAAUUAAAAUCCUAACAUUUAAAAGAAAAUCCUAAGCUUUAAGAGCCCUAUAGGAGCUUAUUUCGACCGGUUAAAAAUCAUAUGCUCACAGCUGCCCCUCUUUGCGCGGGAACGCGACGAGUUUUCAUGCAAAGACAAGUGAGCAAUUAUGAGCGAUUUCUGUCCUAUCGGAUACUCCAUGCGAAGCAUUUUGAAAAAUUUCUGACCGAACCUGUCUUCAAAGGUUGCCUACAUAUCCUUGGGAAUAAAGGAAUCAGGUCAGUGUAGUUCUAGAUGUUUUGGUAGUUGGGACUACCGAGAGACUGUGAUUGGGUGUUGUUGCUGCUGGUUUUGCUUACUAAGCUCCUUUUUACACCGAAAGAAAAUCAAAACUAAGCUAGCUAAGUCUAUCAACUACAAGUUACAAGAUUCCUAUCUAUGAGUCUCUUGAAGCUUGAUCUUGAGUCUCGGCUAUCUUUUGUGGAAAACUAUGAUCUAAAUCUUGAUGCUCGUUAUUGCCGCUGCCGGCUCAGUCUUCAAUUUUGAAAUAAAGCGGGAUAUGCUGAGCUUGUGAUUUCGAUUAUAUUUUGGGACUCGUUAAUUGCUGCUGCUGGCUCAAUCUUCAAUCUUGAAACAAAACAGGAUAUGCUGAUCUUCUGACUUCAAUUAUAUUGUGAGCAGUCUGUGUCUUUGUCCGCCUUAUCACUUUAAGUUCACCUUUUGUCUCUUUUAUUUUCUUGUUCUGAAUUAACACUCAUGCCUUCAAUUAUACCGAAUCUUGUGCCUUAAGGUGACACCUACUCAGACAACAAAACAAGCAAAUGAACGAAACUUUCUGCCCCAGUUUUCACUGGAAAAUUUUGUGAGUUAUUUGUAACACACAUCCAUGCUAUUCUUUAUUAAACCAUAAGGAUUGGAAUUGUGUAUCCCUUGGAAAAAUCGCUAGGUUAUGCUGGAGAGGAGAAAUGGUUCCUGCUGGGGAAUAAGAUGAGAAUCCUCGGGUUAUGCCAGGAUAAGAAUGAAAAAGUCUCUGUGGGGACCAAAAAAAGGUCUGCGGGUUAUGCCGGGAUAGGAAUGUUCCUGCUGAGGAUGGGUUAUGAAGAAAUUCAUGGGUUAUGCCAGGGGAAUCCGCUGUUUAUGCCCGGAUAAAAUAAAAAAUCCUAGGUUAUGCUAGGGGAAUCCACGGGUUAUGCCGGGAUGAAUGAAAAAUCNNNNNNNNNNNNNNNNNNNNNNNNNNNNNNNNNNNNNNNNNNNNNNNNNNNNNNNNNNNNNNNNNNNNNNNNNNNNNNNNNNNNNNUGAAUCUGCACAGAGCAUUUGAGAAUGAAAAAUCCUAAGUUAUGCUAGGAAAUCCACGGGUUAUGCUGGGAUGAAAUAAAAAAUCAUAGGUUGUGUUGGGGGAAUCCAUGGGUUAUGCCGGGAUGAAAUAAAAAAUCCUAGGUUAUGCUAGAGUAAUCCACGGGUUAUGCCGAGAUGAAUGAAAAAUCCUAGGAUAAAUUAGGGGAAUCCACGGGUUAUGCCGGGAUGAAAGGAGAUCAUGAGUUAUGUCAGGGGAAUUAAGGGGUUAUACCGGGAUGAACACAAAAACUAGGUUAUGUUAGGGGAAUCCACGGGUUAUGCCAGGAUGAAUGAAAAAUACUAGGUUAUGCUAGGGGAAUCCAAAGGUUAUGCCAGGAUGAAUGAAGGGUCCCUGCUGGGGAUGAAAGGAAACAUCCACGGGAUAUGCUGGGAUGAAAGAACCCUCCUAGGAUAUGCUAGGGGAAUCCACGAGUUAUGCCGGGAUGAAAGGAGAUCCUGAGUUAUUUCAGGGUAAUCCACGGGUUAUGCCAGGAUGAAUUAAAAAUCCUAGGUUAUGCUAGGGGAAUCCACGGGUUACACCGGGAUGAAUGAAAAAUCCUAGGUUAUGCUAGAGAAAUAUGCAGCGCAGUGGAGGAACUCAGAGAUCCUUUUGACUAUGCUGGGAUAGAGGAAGAAAGGAAUAACUCUUAGGUUAUGCUAAGAGUAGGAGAGUAUUAACUCCUAGACUAUGCUGGGGAGUAGGAAGUGUAAGGAGAGAAUCCUCAAGUUAUGCUAGGGAUAUGGAGGGAAACUUUCUAGAUAUAUGCUGGAGGGGGGAGAAUGUAAUCCUUAGGUAAUGACUGGGAAGUACACAAGCUGUGCAAAGGGGCACUAGGGAUUGGGAUCUCGUGCUGUCAUGCUCAUUUACGAAUUUGCAGAAAAAUUAAAAGAAAAGUUCCCUUUGGUCAUUGACGCAUCAGCACCUUUAGCCCUUGUUCCUAUCCUUUGGUUGUUUUUGCCCCAUGUUCUUUUUUGCUUUUCUAAGUCGCACCUGCAUCUAUUUUAGUUUAGAAACAAAACAAAUUUUUAGUUUGAAUAGUGACUGGGUUUGUGGUCUUGUGACGCUUGAUUUCGGCUUCCUUUGUACUCACAAGCGAACCCUCGGCUUUCCGUCCUUUAUUAAUUGGCCACGGGGUCCUCAUUUCGGAUCGGUUUUUGUUUCUCGGGCCUUGGGUCGUGAGUUUUGUCCUGCCUUUGAUUUUGGGCGUGCUUAUGGGGUUUUGAUAGGAAUCAACAGGUUGGGAGAACCCCAUGGUCCUUCCGUGUGGAAGGGAAGGAAGAAAGAAGGCGAACAUGAAUACUAAAAAGCGGUUCAUGGGGACCCCCAAAAAAGGGGAUCAGCUUGAGGCUUCUUUUUUUUUCAAGCUGAGUAGAAAUUUCAUAAGGGUCGAUGGCAGGUUCGAUUACGGAGAAGUCAAUAAUCAAAGAUUAUGCGGAGGGUCCAGCAGUCACAAAUAACCCAAGCAGAAGGGUCAAGCCUAUUUGAAUUUGUUAUUGGAAAAUGAGGAGGAAGACAUCUGUCAUGGAGAGGCUGCCUAGGUCAGCCAAAGGGGCUGCCAUACAAGCCACAAGAAGCUAGAAUUCUAUAGAAGGUUCUAGAAUGGCCUAGCGUGGCCUUACCAUUUGGCUUAACUGGCUCUAAACCCUCCCACCGGAUAAAGGAAUGGAAUUUCAAGUACAAGUAGUCGUCUACACUUAAAAGCUUUCUUGUCUUCACUGAUCAACAUUUAGUUUGGCCUAAGAUUUUCUAAGUCCGACGCAUCACUUACUUUUCGUCAUCGUGGGUCCAUAACCAUUUUACUACCUAUUUAUGUGGUUGAUAUCUUGAUCACUGGCAUAAUCACUCAGCCCUUGAGGAUGCAGCUUCUACGGAUUGAGGUUAUUCCCCGCUAGAAUGGGCCAGGUGGGAUGGGGGAGCGGUCGAGCGUGCAAAGGCGCAAGUCGAGCAAGGUAUCUGAACUGAAAUGUAAAAAAGCGUGCAACGAUGGGGGCCUGCUUGACCAACCGCCAUCAUACUAUGAUCAGAUACUGGAGGGGGAGGCCAGGCUUUCGCCUUUAAAGGUAUAAGCUGUGAGUCUGCACAGAGCCUUUGAUUGUACCUCGACGAAAAUCUGGUUGUUGCGAAUAGCGUAUUAAAGCCAACGGAUUCUUCCAAUGUAUCAUUUCUGGGUCCAAUGGAAUUCAUAGGUAUAGGGUGGAAAACCUAUCUGACUAAUAAGAAGAAAGGGGCAAGCCAAAACCUACUCCUAACAAGUUGCUGGAUCGAAGUAGUACAUUAUACAUCUGCCCGCCAGCAGCGGAGGGGGUUCGAUUCCCGUUAUACGCGAUGUGGCGAAAAAGACUGAUUCAACGAGAUAUGCCUUGCCUGCAUUAAGAUUUAAAACUUGUCGUCUACUUUCAGGAAAUGUUUGGAACAGAGAACUUACAAUAAUACAACGCCGUAUUCUCCGAAGAUUGAGGAAGAAGAAGAGAUCUAUUAAGAGAAAGAUUUAUUCUAGAGAAAAUCUUAACAGUUACAUCCAAUCACAAACUACACGAAAGUUGUCCCUUUUUUAUGGAGAUUUACCCAUCACAGA